GAUUUGUCUGGUUAAUUCCGUUAACGAACGAGACCUUAACCUGCUAAAUAGUGUUCUGAACCUCGGUUCACGGUCUACUUCUUAGAGGGACUUCGUGUGUUUAACGCGAGGUAGUUUGAGGCAAUAACAGGUCUGUGAUGCCCUUAGAUGUCCUGGGCUGCACGCGCGCUACACUGAUGUGUCCAGUAAGCACCUAACCUCUUCCGAAGGUUAACGGGUAACCUUGAGCAAAGCACAUCGUGAUGGGGAUAGAUUAUUGCAAUUAUUAGUCUUGAACGAGGAAUUCCUAGUAAGCACAAGUCAUCAGCUUGUGUUGAUUACGUCCCUGCCCUUUGUACACACCGCCCGUCGCUCCUACCGAUUGAAUUUUCCGGUGAAUACUUCGGACUGCGUAGUUUUUUUUUUUCUGCAUUCCUUGCGGAAAGUUGAAUAAACCUUAACAUUUAGAGGAAGGAGAAGUCGUAACAAGGUUUCCGUAGUGAACCUGCAGAAGGAUCA
This 498-nucleotide ribosomal RNA is filed under the name uncultured Syndiniales. Its description in RNAcentral is "bacterial SSU rRNA". It matches the Rfam family "Eukaryotic small subunit ribosomal RNA", at positions 1308 to 1828 of the family's 1831-position model. Lineage: Eukaryota; Dinophyceae; Syndiniales. The record is from RNAcentral.